Molecule: non-coding RNA, 107 nt
Organism: Acanthosepion pharaonis
Lineage: Eukaryota; Metazoa; Mollusca; Cephalopoda; Sepiida; Sepiidae
Source: the annotation of a GenBank genome assembly
UUAUGGCCACAUCACGUCGAAACACUGGUUCUCAUACAAUCACCAAAGUCAAGCAACAUUGAGCUUGGUCAGUAUCUAGAUGGGUGGCCACUUGGGAAUACCAGAAG